This 433-nucleotide ribosomal RNA is filed under the name uncultured bacterium. RNAcentral describes it as "partial 16S ribosomal RNA". It matches the Rfam family "Bacterial small subunit ribosomal RNA", at positions 29 to 507 of the family's 1533-position model. The record is from RNAcentral.
AGCGAACGCUGGCGGCAGGCUUAACACAUGCAAGUCGAGCGGGCCCUUCGGGGUCAGCGGCAGACGGGUGAGUAACACGUGGGAACGUACCCUUUGGUUCGGAAUAACGCUGGGAAACUAGCGCUAAUACCGGAUACGCCCUUUUGGGGAAAGGCUUGCUGCCGAAGGACCGGCCCGCGUCUGAUUAGCUAGUUGGUGGGGUAAUGGCCUACCAAGGCGACGAUCAGUAGCUGGUCUGAGAGGAUGAUCAGCCACACUGGGACUGAGACACGGCCCAGACUCCUACGGGAGGCAGCAGUGGGGAAUAUUGGACAAUGGGCGCAAGCCUGAUCCAGCCAUGCCGCGUGAGUGAUGAAGGCCUUAGGGUUGUAAAGCUCUUUUGUCCGGGACGAUAAUGACGGUACCGGAAGAAUAAGCCCCGGCUAACUUCGUG